GAUGAACGCUGGCGGCGUGCCUAAUACAUGCAAGUCGAGCGAACGGACGAGAAGCUUGCUUUUCUGAUGUUAGCGGCGGACGGGUGAGUAACACGUGGAUAACCUACCUAUAAGACUGGGAUAACUUCGGGAAACCGGAGCUAAUACCGGAUAAUAUUUUGAACCGCAUGGUUCAAAAGUGAAAGACGGUCUUGCUGUCACUUAUAGAUGGAUCCGCGCUGCAUUAGCUAGUUGGUAAGGUAACGUCUUACCAAGGCAACGAUGCAUAGCCGACCUGAGGGGGUGAUCGGCCCACCGGGAACGGGAAACGGUCCCAAACUCCCACGGGGGGCCGCAGGAGGAAACUUUCCCGAAGGGGGAAAAGCCUGACGGGGCAACCCCGGGUAGGUGAUGAGGUUCUUCGGUUUGGAAAACCUUUUUUUUAGGGAAAACCAAUUGUGUAAGUAACUGUGCCCAUCUUGACGGUACCAAAUCAGAAACCCCCGGCUAACUCCGG
This 496-nucleotide ribosomal RNA is filed under the name uncultured bacterium. Its description in RNAcentral is "partial 16S ribosomal RNA". It matches the Rfam family "Bacterial small subunit ribosomal RNA", at positions 28 to 506 of the family's 1533-position model. The record is from RNAcentral.